Non-coding RNA from Picea glauca (white spruce), 103 nucleotides. NCBI's taxonomy places the organism in Eukaryota, Viridiplantae, Streptophyta, Pinopsida, Pinales, Pinaceae. The record is from Rfam.
GUCUCUUAGAAGACAUCCGAUAAAAUUGGAACGAUACAAAGAAGAUUAGCAUGGCCCUUGCGCAAGGAUGACACACACAAAUCAAGAAAUGGUCCAUAUUUUU